AAGUCGUAACAAGGUUUCCGUAGGUGAACCUGCGGAAGGAUCAUUAACACGAAUUAUUAUCCACUAUUUCAACCAAACGUGAACUUUUCCCCUCCCUAGUGCUUUAUUUUAUUGCAUUAGGCUAAACUGUCGUUCUAUACUAAUCCUAUAGAACUUACACACCCCAUACAAACAAACAAACUUAUGGUCUUGACUUAAAACUCAUUACCACACCAUAUAUCCGAACAUGACCUGUAGUCCUAGUUGACUCACUCGGUCUGUUCUGUUCUACUAACGAACUGAAAAGAGAAAAUACAACUCUUAACAAUGGAUAUCUUGGUUCUC
RNAcentral lists this unclassified non-coding RNA (324 nucleotides) under fungal sp. RNAcentral's name for it is "partial internal transcribed spacer region". The stretch from base 1 to 46 matches the Rfam family "Eukaryotic small subunit ribosomal RNA", at positions 1786 to 1831 of the family's 1831-position model. Lineage: Eukaryota; Fungi. The record is from RNAcentral.